RNAcentral lists this ribosomal RNA (1139 nucleotides) under Pseudomonas aeruginosa. RNAcentral's name for it is "partial 23S ribosomal RNA". It matches the Rfam family "Bacterial large subunit ribosomal RNA", at positions 1141 to 2267 of the family's 2925-position model. Lineage: Bacteria; Pseudomonadati; Pseudomonadota; Gammaproteobacteria; Pseudomonadales; Pseudomonadaceae. The record is from RNAcentral.
CUCACUAGUCGAGUCGGCCUGCGCGGAAGAUGUAACGGGGCUCAAACCACACACCGAAGCUGCGGGUGUCACGUAAGUGACGCGGUAGAGGAGCGUUCUGUAAGCCUGUGAAGGUGAGUUGAGAAGCUUGCUGGAGGUAUCAGAAGUGCGAAUGCUGACAUGAGUAACGACAAUGGGUGUGAAAAACACCCACGCCGAAAGACCAAGGGUUCCUGCGCAACGUUAAUCGACGCAGGGUUAGUCGGUUCCUAAGGCGAGGCUGAAAAGCGUAGUCGAUGGGAAACAGGUUAAUAUUCCUGUACUUCUGGUUACUGCGAUGGAGGGACGGAGAAGGCUAGGCCAGCUUGGCGUUGGUUGUCCAAGUUUAAGGUGGUAGGCUGAAAUCUUAGGUAAAUCCGGGGUUUCAAGGCCGAGAGCUGAUGACGAGUCGUCUUUUAGAUGACGAAGUGGUUGAUGCCAUGCUUCCAAGAAAAGCUUCUAAGCUUCAGGUAACCAGGAACCGUACCCCAAACCGACACAGGUGGUCGGGUAGAGAAUACCAAGGCGCUUGAGAGAACUCGGGUGAAGGAACUAGGCAAAAUGGCACCGUAACUUCGGGAGAAGGUGCGCCGGCUAGGGUGAAGGAUUUACUCCGUAAGCUCUGGCUGGUCGAAGAUACCAGGCCGCUGCGACUGUUUAUUAAAAACACAGCACUCUGCAAACACGAAAGUGGACGUAUAGGGUGUGACGCCUGCCCGGUGCCGGAAGGUUAAUUGAUGGGGUUAGCGCAAGCGAAGCUCUUGAUCGAAGCCCCGGUAAACGGCGGCCGUAACUAUAACGGUCCUAAGGUAGCGAAAUUCCUUGUCGGGUAAGUUCCGACCUGCACGAAUGGCGUAACGAUGGCGGCGCUGUCUCCACCCGAGACUCAGUGAAAUUGAAAUCGCUGUGAAGAUGCAGUGUAUCCGCGGCUAGACGGAAAGACCCCGUGAACCUUUACUGUAGCUUUGCACUGGACUUUGAGCCUGCUUGUGUAGGAUAGGUGGGAGGCUUUGAAGCGUGGACGCCAGUUCGCGUGGAGCCAUCCUUGAAAUACCACCCUGGCAUGCUUGAGGUUCUAACUCUGGUCCGUGAUCCGGAUCGAGGACAGUGUAUGGUGGGCA